AUGAAACACUCCUACGGGAGGCAGCAGUAGGGAAUCUUCCGCAAUGGGCGAAAGCCUGACGGAGCAACGCCGCGUGAGUGAAGAAGGAUUUCGGUUCGUAAAGCUCUGUUGUUAGGGAAGAAUGGAUAUGUAGUAACUAUACAUAUAAGAGACGGUACCUAACCAGAAAGCCACGGCUAACUACGUGCCAGCAGCCGCGGUAAUACGUAGGUGGCAAGCGUUGUCCGGAAUUAUUGGGCGUAAAGCGCGCGCAGGUGGUUUAAUAAGUCUGAUGUGAAAGCCCACGGCUCAACCGUGGAGGGUCAUUGGAAACUGUUAAACUUGAGUGCAGGAGAGAAAAGUGGAAUUCCUAGUGUAGCGGUGAAAUGCGUAGAGAUUAGGAGGAACACCAGUGGCGAAGGCGGCUUUUUGGCCUGUAACUGACACUGAGGCGCGAAAGCGUGGGGAGCAAACAGGAUUAGAAACCCUUGUAGUCCGAAGUUC
RNAcentral lists this ribosomal RNA (483 nucleotides) under uncultured bacterium. Its description in RNAcentral is "bacterial SSU rRNA". It matches the Rfam family "Bacterial small subunit ribosomal RNA", at positions 328 to 802 of the family's 1533-position model. The record is from RNAcentral.